GGUCCUACGGGGGGCAGCAGUGAGGAAUAUUGGUCAAUGGGCGGGAGCCUGAACCAGCCAAGUCGCGUGAGGGAAGACGGUACUAUGGAUUGUAAACCUCUUUAGGCGGGGAGCAAUGACGGGCACGCGUGCCCGGAGGGAGAGUACCCGCAGAAUAAGCAUCGGCUAACUCCGUGCCAGCAGCCGCGGUAAUACGGAGGAUGCGAGCGUUAUCCGGAUUUAUUGGGUUUAAAGGGUGCAUAGGCGGAUUUUUAAGUCAGCGGCAAAAUGACCGGGCUCAAACC
This 284-nucleotide ribosomal RNA is filed under the name uncultured bacterium. Its description in RNAcentral is "partial 16S ribosomal RNA". It matches the Rfam family "Bacterial small subunit ribosomal RNA", at positions 335 to 615 of the family's 1533-position model. The record is from RNAcentral.